UCUAAAUGAGCAAACAUGUGAGAGAGGUUGCAGGAGCGAUGUUGCGGAGAUUUAAUUAACAUUCGAUUUAUUAUGAUGUGGCGUACCAGCAUGUUCCUCCUUAAUAUGCAAUGUUGACCAAUGGAUAGUUGAGAUGGCUGCACAUGAUGAAAGAAACUUCCGAACUUAUUACUAUGAAAAGUUUGGAAUUGGAGGAGUGGAUGAAAAGAAGUCACUGGAGAUUCUUCUGAAAGAACAACCACUGAACAUCGGAAAGCUGAGGCAGUUCUGUUUGAGAUUUCAAGUUCCAGCCAUGUACAGGAUUCAUUUGUGGAAAGUCAUUUUAGGUAUCACUCCAGCAAAUCCCAAAUCAACGGAAUUUGUGAUGAGUCAGCGUCGUCAGCAGUAUGAAAAUCUACACCAUGCUCUCAUGGUAAUGAGGAGAAUCAACAGUAACACUCCCCCGGGGGAAGUCUACACAAAGAUGUAUCUCCUACAAACUGGCAUGUUGUCAUUUGAGGAUCAUGAUUUGAAAAAUCCUGAGAACAAAGCUCUUGUUUCCAUGGGAACAUCAGUGAGCGGUAUCGUGGAGGACGACGUGGAUGGGUACUGGAUCACCACAAAGUUUUACACACUGUUCAGCAAGUGUAAAGAGUCACUUCAAAAGUUGCCAGAGAAGACAAUUCAGUACCUGAAAAAGGAAGAUACAGACCAGCGACUUGUCAACCACCUCAAUAAACAUGAUGUCUGGGGUUGUCUACCCCUGGUCGACUGGUACAGGCGAUGCUUCUCCAAUGUUCUUCCUGAUACCUCAUUUGAAAGAGUCUGGGAUAAAGUUAUCGGAGGAUCCUGUAGUAUACUUAUCUAUGUGGCAGUAUCUAUAUUCUUGACCUUCAAACGCCCCUUGUUGAGCAUGAACAGUCGAGAUGACAUGGUGAAUUAUCUUCUUAAGAUCCCAGGGGAUAGUGGUGAUGUCCUUGUGAUACAAGCUAUAGAGCUUUGGCAGAAACAUGGUGGACAUAUGAUACAGACAAAGUCAGACUCGCCCGUCUUCGUGGACCGGUCACCUUCCUGACACAGCUUAAAUGAUCUCUUGUAUUGAUUUGAGAAUUUUAAGAACUAAUCAUCGCUUUACUUAUGCAUGGUCAGAGUAAAUUCUAAGGAAUGUGUACACUGAGUUUGACAAUUAACAAACCCGGAUUGCGGUCUUUCCCAAAGGAAUUGAGCAUCAUCAUCUAUAGAACACAAGGAUAAUUUUGGCUACCUAACUGGAUUCACAUAGACUGUGACAUCCUGCUGGUUGAAUAGUACUGAUAAAGCUGUCAUGAUCACUGUACAAAAUUUAGCAAAGUAAAAACAAUGUUUGCAUGAUUUUAAAGGAUGUUAAAGUUUUACAAUAGAGUUUUUUAUGCAAAUGAUUGUUUUAUGAAACAAUUAAAAGUUAAAGUUGGCAUCAAAGUUCAUUCCAGGGUGUAUCCCAAUUUUCAAAUGAAAAUGACAACUUUUCAAAGUAUAAGGAACUCACUGUAAUAAUGAUAUAUUUGGUAGAGGUGUGAGGAAAAGCUUUGAGUAAUGUCUGGUACUUGUAUCAGAUCACUGAACACUUUUCAUUUUACAAGACCUGGUCAUGUAUGUACUUUGUGAUGAAGAUUUGAAUAAAUUGUUGGAAAUCGU
This 1653-nucleotide unclassified non-coding RNA is filed under the name Mizuhopecten yessoensis (Yesso scallop). Its description in RNAcentral is "tBC1 domain family member 7-like, transcript variant X3". The record is from RNAcentral. Lineage: Eukaryota; Metazoa; Mollusca; Bivalvia; Pectinida; Pectinidae.